Non-coding RNA from Meleagris gallopavo (turkey), 607 nucleotides. The record is from RefSeq and is a predicted model, not a curated record. NCBI's taxonomy places the organism in Eukaryota, Metazoa, Chordata, Aves, Galliformes, Phasianidae.
AAGGCUUACUGCCUCUUUCUUUUUGUUUCUUUCCGCCACAGGGUACACAUUUCAUCCAGUUGUGUUGCCAGAGGAAUAUUCCCAUUGUGUUUUUGCAGAACAUUACAGGUUUCAUGGUUGGUAGAGAAUAUGAAGCAGGAGGGAUAGCAAAAGAUGGUGCAAAGAUGGUAACAGCAGUUGCUUGUGCCAGUGUACCUAAAAUAACAGUCAUUAUUGGUGGCUCUUACGGUGCUGGAAACUAUGGGAUGUGUGGAAGAGCAUACAGGUAAGCAUUACUUCAAAUUACAGCAGAAAUAAGUUACAAUACUGUGAUAAAGUGCUGUUCUGAAAAGCUGCUGUAAUUCUUGCAGAAGCCAGAAAACAAAGCCAUUUUCCAGUGAAUGUGGUCAUGAGUAAAUAACAACCAUACAAAACUGUAAAGGUGGAUAGACUCAAGAUUUACAUAAACUAUGUAGCAGAAUAUUUUCCAGCAUAUGAGCAUGCUGACGUGCUUUUCUGCCAUUAUAGUUUGAGGGGGGAGGAAGUUGACAGUCCUAAACAAUUUCUAGUUAGUGUGGGCUGGUCCUUUAUUGCGCAUACACAUGAAGAGAACUAGCUUGAAUUAAAA